Molecule: long non-coding RNA, 391 nt
Organism: Aethalodelphis obliquidens (Pacific white-sided dolphin)
Lineage: Eukaryota; Metazoa; Chordata; Mammalia; Artiodactyla; Delphinidae
Exons: 3
Source: RefSeq, a predicted model, not a curated record
ACCCGUGUCCCCUGUAUCGGCAGGCGGAUUCUCAACCACUGCGCCACGAGGCUUAAAUAUUUAAGAAAUGUAUAAAUGGCUGAAAAUCUACGAAAGAACUCUAAAAAACUUUGGGAAAAUGCUAAUGAAACACGAGAAGAAAAAGGCAUUCCUGGAUGACUGAAAACAAGGAAGCAAUUUUCGACUUCCGCUUUAUGUUCAGAAGCAUCAACAACAUACAAGUCUGUCCACACAGGCCUUGACUGCACAGCAAGCUUCAAAAAAUGUUUGUCACCAGAGCAAGAUAAUUUUUGCAACUUGUGAUAAUAAGAAGCUGGUUUGAUGAAAACCUUGCAGUUGUGAAAAAAAAUGAUUUUUUGAAAUUUGUGGUUGAUAAAAAUGGUUUCUCACA